UACGGGGGGGGGUAAGCGUUGUUCGGAAUUACUGGGCGUAAAGCGCACGUAGGCGGCUUUGUAAGUUAGAGGUGAAAGCCCGGGGCUCAACUCCGGAACUGCCUUUAAGACUGCAUCGCUUGAAUCCGGGAGAGGUGAGUGGAAUUCCGAGUGUAGAGGUGAAAUUCGUAGAUAUUCGGAAGAACACCAGUGGCGAAGGCGGCUCACUGGACCGGUAUUGACGCUGAGGUGCGAAAGCGUGGGGAGCAAACAGG
RNAcentral lists this ribosomal RNA (254 nucleotides) under uncultured bacterium. Its description in RNAcentral is "partial 16S ribosomal RNA". It matches the Rfam family "Bacterial small subunit ribosomal RNA", at positions 524 to 776 of the family's 1533-position model. The record is from RNAcentral.